Molecule: long non-coding RNA, 499 nt
Organism: Oncorhynchus tshawytscha (Chinook salmon)
Lineage: Eukaryota; Metazoa; Chordata; Actinopteri; Salmoniformes; Salmonidae
Source: Ensembl
UCCAUUCUUUCUCCAGUCUUUUCUUUCUCCAGUCUUUUCUUUCUCCCAUCUUUUCUUUCUCCAGUCUUUUCUUUCUCCAGUCUUUUCUUUCUCCAGUCCAUUCUUUCUCCAGUCUUUUCUUUCUCCAGUCCAUUCUUUCUCCAGUCCAGUCUUUUCUUUCUCCAGUCUUUUCUUUCUCCAGUCCAUUCUUUCUCCAGUCCAUUCUUUAUCCAGUCUUUUCUUUCUCCAGUCCAUUCUUUCUCCAGUCUUUUCUUUCUCCAGUCCAUUCUUUCUCCAGUCCAUUCUUUCUCCAGUCUUUUCUUUCUCCAGUCUUUUCUUUCUCCAGUCCAUUCUUUCUCCAGUCCAUUCUUUCUCCAGUCCAUUCUUUCUCCAGUCCAUUCUUUCUCCAGUCUUUUCUUUCUCCAGUCUUUUCUUUCUCCAGUCCAUUCUUUCUCCAGUCCAUUCUUUCUCCAGUCCAUUCUUUCUCCAGUCCAUUCUUUCUCCAGUCCAUUCUUUCUCC